AGUGAACGCUGGCGGUAGGCCUAACACAUGCGAGUCGAACGGCAGCACAGUAAGAGCUUGCUCUUACGGGUGGCGAGUGGCGGACGGGUGAGGAAUACAUCGGAAUCUACUUUUUCGUGGGGGAUAACGUAGGGAAACUUACGCUAAUACCGCAUACGACCUACGGGUGAAAGCAGGGGAUCUUCGGACCUUGCGCGAUUGAAUGAGCCGAUGUCGGAUUAGCUAGUUGGCGGGGUAAAGGCCCACCAAGGCGACGAUCCGUAGCUGGUCUGAGAGGAUGAUCAGCCACACUGGAACUGAGACACGGUCCAGACUACUACGGGAGGCAGCAGUGGGGAAUAUUGGACAAUGGGCGCAAGCCUGAUCCAGCCAUACCGCGUGGGUGAAGAAGGCCUUCGGGUUGUAAAGCCCUUUUGUUGGGAAAGAACAGCAGCAGGUUAAUACCCCGCUGUUCUGACGGUACCCAAAGAAUAAGCACCGGCUAACUUCGUG
Molecule: ribosomal RNA, 492 nt
Filed under: uncultured bacterium
Lineage: Bacteria
Description: partial 16S ribosomal RNA
Rfam family: Bacterial small subunit ribosomal RNA
Source: RNAcentral